This is a long non-coding RNA of Canis lupus familiaris (dog), 1913 nucleotides long. RefSeq lists it as uncharacterized. Lineage: Eukaryota; Metazoa; Chordata; Mammalia; Carnivora; Canidae. The record is from RefSeq and is a predicted model, not a curated record. The transcript has 6 exons.
UUCAUAAGUACGUACAAAAAACUAAGCAAACAGAAUACAAUUUUUAACUCCAGAUAAACAAAAUAAAUGCGAGAAAGUAAAAGUAAUUUUCACAUACUACAAAGUUGAGCUGUGCAUAGUGUUUACACUGUCCUACUAAAGUGUAAGCAUCAUCCUGAAAGGACAGUCUAUGUGUAUUACUAAUCCAGUACGCCUUCUAUUCUUCUUCUACCCAUCCCCCAAUCCUCAUCACAUAAGAGCACAGGCAGCCCCAGCAGAUCUUUCUAAUCCUAUGCAAGGACAGCCCCUUCCAACAUGUUAAAAUAUAAAAGAGCUGACAGCUAGAGAAAUCAGAAGAAUCCUCACAGGUCUGGUAGAAAACACAGCAAGGAAAGGAAGAAACAACUGAAUGAGUAUAUGUCCGCUGUGGACAGAACUGCAGCACAGGUGCAUAUGAAGAGGUGCAUCUAUCCCUAGACUGGAGGCACCUGGACCUCAUCCAUACCUGCAUCACGCAUUAGCAAUCAACCAGUGCACGAUUUCUACCCUGGCACCUUUAGCUGACUUCUCAUCAGACUUCAGUGGCAGUGCAGAGGAAAGCUUCUUUUGUGAACUACAAAAUCAUCUAUGGAGGAAGGCAUUAAUUAAUGUUAAUAUCAUUACCCGCUAUUACUACUGAAAAGACACCUCAGAUGCAGGAUGGUGGGUCAACAGAUUAAUCUUCCCAUACUCUAUUCAAAAGCAAAUUCUGACACUUGAUUUUUUCCUUCCUUGAUGGAAAUUAAGGGGAAAAAAUGAGGAGGAUGGUUCUUUUGAAAGAUUUGCCUGUACUCUUAACUCGUUUCAAACCUCAGUUUCAAAAGCAGUGAGUUGUUUCAUUUAAUCAGUGAGAAAGCAUAUCCCACAAAAGGCAGCUCCCUGAAGGGCAAGCUGCUCAAACACCGUUUCCAUGGCUGCCUGCUGCAACAAUAUUUUUUACUGAACUAAGCAUUGCUAAUUUUAGCCACGGAUUAUCUGGAAAGCAAGGAAGAAAUAGAUGAAAGGCAAUUUUUACCUGAGCCACAUGAGCCCCAGAGAACUUUUACUAAGAUAGAGAUGCUACUAGAAAAAGCAACUAUGUAACUCCGAUGCCUUGGGGACAUUUUUCAACUGCUCUCCAUCAGCACCUGGACGAAGGAGGGAGAUACCACUUUCCUGAUUCAGGAGGAAAUAGCAACUCAGUGGUGAAAUUAUUUGAUCCAGAUCAUGACAGCCUGUAUAAGAAAGCAGAGUAUCAUCCCAGUCUGACUUCUAGUCCCAGGCCCUUCCAUUAAAGGAGCAAUAUUUGCUUUGAGGGCUAAGCUAUUUUGGAUGCUGGUUCCAGUAAGCUGUGUCAUGAUGGGACUUGAAAUAAAGAUCUGCAUAGGGAGGACAGGAAAUAAUAUCUAUAAUAAGAUUACUUUGAUUUUGACCAAGGCAAUAAGGUUAAAAAAAGCAACACACAGAUGCUGUCCCAUUCGCAGAGUCAGAUACUGCUGAAAUAAGUGACGUUAAACUAUCUACAAAGAAACCACAGAGAGGAAGAUAGAUUCUUUAUGAUCUCAGCUGCUAUAUCUUCCAUAAGCAACAAAUCCUCUAGGCAAUAAUGGAUUGCUUAAUUGCAUUUGGAAUUGUCCAGAUCCCAGCAUGGGAUGCAGAGGUAAUCCCUAUGGGAUCUCAAAUGAGGAGACAAUGAGCCCUUAUGAACAGGGGCUAAAGAGUCAAGUCAAGCCCCUGUGGGUACAGGACUUUAGCAAGUCCUGGUGAGUCCCAGUCCCAGGUCCCACUGAUACUCACUGUCUAGGGUCGGUGGCUGCAACCCCUAGGGUAGACUAAUUCUAUAUAGCCUUCAGCAAAUUUCAGAAUGCUCUGUGUCCCCUUCCUUCUCUCUCUCCUUUUUUCAGACUCUCAUUUGU